RNAcentral lists this long non-coding RNA (1117 nucleotides) under Elaeis guineensis (African oil palm). Its description in RNAcentral is "long non-coding RNA (EGUI_LNC018420)". Lineage: Eukaryota; Viridiplantae; Streptophyta; Magnoliopsida; Arecales; Arecaceae. The record is from RNAcentral.
CAGACUGGCUAGUGUCCUUCUUUCUCACCUCGGUUGACUGACGAGGUAGAGGCUCAAUUGAUACCUCUCGAAGAGUAUUGUUUCUCUCCGAACUAGCUGGAGAAGGGGUGGUAGAAGUCCGAGACGGCAUUCGGACAGGAAGAGGAUCUACAGCUUUGGCCUUUUUUGGUGCAGGAUCGCUGUCAGAUGGCUUUGGUUGGUCCUUUCUUUUCCUCCCCUCCAGUCUAUUUGGAUUAAACUUCAUUUUUGCAUCAAGAAAGUUAUGCAAUCAAGAAAAGAUAUAUGAGACAAAACAAAGAAAGUAAGAUAGGAGAAAAUACUUCGGUCUUAUCCCGAGAAGAGUACAGGCUAAUGCCAGCAUCAUACAAUGCCUGAUCAAUAACCAGAAAAGAUAGCUUGGGCACUCUAGUGGUAAUCAAGAUUGAAUAAGCCAUCUUAUCUCCAGAAAGAAUUUUAUCAUUGGAAUUAUGCCUGAUAUCGAACACCUCCAGGAAGUCCUAAAAUUCCAUGGAAUAGGAGCUCGGAUAAAGAAGAAAUGGCCUUUCCAGCAAUGUAUUGAUGAAGGAAAACUAGAUCUGAAUUUAUAAUUUUUUUGAUGUGAGAAGUACCACCAACCCCGCUCACUCAGAUGUCUUUUCAAAAAGAUCAAAGACCUAAACAAAGAGAUUCUAAGUUCUAUAUGGAAGAAUUUAUAUAUAUUUAUGAACACUAUGAUUAUCCUGAUUGCAUUCGAAGUUAUCUGGGUAGGAUGGACCCUAUAGAAAUCGAAAAUGUUACUGAAAAAUAGUAUAAUAAAAAUUGCAGACCAGAUCAGAGGGCUUCAUCAUAUAAGGCAAUGCAACCCUCAGAGAGCUUAGAAACUCGAUCUUCCGGAUCCGACACCAACAUCUCAUACUCGUCAAGUGCAUCAUAUUUCUCUUUAAGAUUCAUGAGAUUUUCCUCAGAGGUAAUCUGUGAGACCACGCACGAGAGAUUCUGCACUAUGGUCUGAACUCCCUUCAUCUACAGGACCAAUAUCAAGGUUCCCCCAGAGUGAACUUUCUACCUCGAUAGCCAAUAAGAGGUAAGUCGACCUAAUCUGGAGGUCAUCUACAAUCUUCUUCCCUUUUCUCUCUAG